This 81-nucleotide transfer RNA is filed under the name Suillus cothurnatus. RNAcentral's name for it is "tRNA-Glu". It matches the Rfam family "tRNA". Rfam says of the family: Transfer RNA (tRNA) molecules are approximately 80 nucleotides in length. Their secondary structure includes four short double-helical elements and three loops (D, anti-codon, and T loops). Further hydrogen bonds mediate the characteristic L-shaped molecular structure. tRNAs have two regions of fundamental functional importance: the anti-codon, which is responsible for specific mRNA codon recognition, and the 3' end, to which the tRNAs corresponding amino acid is attached (by aminoacyl-tRNA synthetases). tRNAs cope with the degeneracy of the genetic code in two manners: having more than one tRNA (with a specific anti-codon) for a particular amino acid; and 'wobble' base-pairing, i.e. permitting non-standard base-pairing at the 3rd anti-codon position. RNAcentral also lists the same sequence under 1 other name. The record is from RNAcentral. Lineage: Eukaryota; Fungi; Basidiomycota; Agaricomycetes; Boletales; Suillaceae.
UCGGAUAUGGUGUAAAGGUAACAUAUCCGCCUCUCAUCGUAGGGUGCGCGGUUGCUCGGGGUUCGAUUCCCCGUAUCCGAA